CGGACGGGUGAGUAAUGUCUGGGAAACUGCCUGAUGGAGGGGGAUAACUACUGGAAACGGUAGCUAAUACCGCAUAACGUCGCAAGACCAAAGAGGGGGACCUUCGGGCCUCUUGCCAUCGGAUGUGCCCAGAUGGGAUUAGCUAGUAGGUGGGGUAACGGCUCACCUAGGCGACGAUCCCUAGCUGGUCUGAGAGGAUGACCAGCCACACUGGAACUGAGCACGGUCCAG
This 231-nucleotide ribosomal RNA is filed under the name uncultured bacterium. Its description in RNAcentral is "partial 16S ribosomal RNA". It matches the Rfam family "Bacterial small subunit ribosomal RNA", at positions 99 to 334 of the family's 1533-position model. The record is from RNAcentral.